This 301-nucleotide ribosomal RNA is filed under the name uncultured bacterium. RNAcentral describes it as "partial 16S ribosomal RNA". It matches the Rfam family "Bacterial small subunit ribosomal RNA", at positions 509 to 809 of the family's 1533-position model. The record is from RNAcentral.
CAGUCGCCGCGGGAAAACGUAUGUUGCGAGCGUUAUCCGGAAUUAUUGGGCAUAAAGGGCAUCUAGGCGGCCGGAUAAGUCUGGGGUGAAAACUUGCGGCUCAACCGCAAGCCUGCCCUGGAAACUAUGCGGCUAGAGUACUGGAGAGGUGGACGGAACUGCACGAGUAGAGGUGAAAUUCGUAGAUAUGUGCAGGAAUGCCGAUGAUGAAGAUAGUUCACUGGACGGUAACUGACGCUGAAGUGCGAAAGCUAGGGGAGCAAACAGGAUUAGAUACCCGUGUAGUCCCUGUCUCUUAUAA